This is a non-coding RNA of Schistosoma margrebowiei, 45 nucleotides long. NCBI's taxonomy places the organism in Eukaryota, Metazoa, Platyhelminthes, Trematoda, Strigeidida, Schistosomatidae. The record is from Rfam.
AUCCAGCUGACGGGUCUCAAAUAGGGUGAAACUAGAAUCCUGGAU